This 851-nucleotide ribosomal RNA is filed under the name uncultured bacterium. Its description in RNAcentral is "bacterial SSU rRNA". It matches the Rfam family "Bacterial small subunit ribosomal RNA", at positions 601 to 1453 of the family's 1533-position model. The record is from RNAcentral.
CCCCGGGCUCAACCUGGGAACUGCGUUNUGAACUGGGUGACUAGAGUGUGUCAGAGGGAGGUAGAAUUNCACGUGUAGCAGUGAAAUGCGUAGAGAUGUGGAGGAAUACCGAUGGCGAAGGCAGCNUCCUGGGAUAACACUGACGUUCAUGCCCGAAAGCGUGGGUAGCAAACAGGAUUAGAUACCCUGGUAGUCCACGCCCUAAACGAUGUCGAUUAGCCGUUGGGCAGCAUGACUGCUUAGUAGCGAAGCUAACGCGUGAAAUCGACCGCCUGGGGAGUACGGUCGCAAGAUUAAAACUCAAAGGAAUUGACGGGGACCCGCACAAGCGGUGGAUGAUGUGGAUUAAUUCGAUGCAACGCGAAGAACCUUACCUGGUCUUGACAUGUACGGAACCCUCCAGAGACGGAGGGGUGCCUUCGGGAGCCGUAACACAGGUGCUGCAUGGCUGUCGUCAGCUCGUGUCGUGAGAUGUUGGGUUAAGUCCCGCAACGAGCGCAACCCUUGUCAUUAGUUGCCAUCAUUAAGUUGGGCACUCUAAUGAGACUGCCGGUGACAAGCCGGAGGAAGGUGGGGAUGACGUCAAGUCCUCAUGGCCCUUAUGACCAGGGCUUCACACGUCAUACAAUGGUCGGUACAGAGGGUAGCCAAGCCGCGAGGUGGAGCCAAUCUCACAAAACCGAUCGUAGUCCGGAUUGCACUCUGCAACUCGAGUGCAUGAAGUCGGAAUCGCUAGUAAUCGCAGGUCAGCAUACUGCGGUGAAUACGUUCCCGGGUCUUGUACACACCGCCCGUCACACCAUGGGAGUGGGGGAUACCAGAAGUAGGUAGGGUAACCGCAAGGAGCCCNC